This 1257-nucleotide unclassified non-coding RNA is filed under the name Hevea brasiliensis (rubber tree). Lineage: Eukaryota; Viridiplantae; Streptophyta; Magnoliopsida; Malpighiales; Euphorbiaceae. The record is from RNAcentral.
CACCAAUUGAUAACUAAGGAUUCAGACGGUGUUUGAAAUGGUGACACGUGGUUGAGAUGGUUUCGGGGUAAUACGAGUGCUAUAGUAUUUUUUGAGGUUCAUACGACUACUUAUUUAUGGUAUUAUGCUACUGCGACUACUUCCAAGAAAUUUUAGGGAGAGUAAUUCUAAUGGAGUCAUGGUGUAGGCCAAGAAAAUUUGCCCGCUCGGUAUGGAAGGGUCUUUAUUUAUAGAGCAAUUGAGCCAAUGCUUGUCAGGCACGUGUAAAAGUAUUACAAGUGGGUUGUAUUAAUUAUGGGAGUCUAUUUCUUAAGUCUAAUUAGAUUAUUUUAUGGUAAUAAUAACUCUGACAUGCUUGAGUUGAUAGUGAUGGGUGGUAACAAGUCAGAUCAGUGUAAUAAACAAUUCAUCCUACUUGUUUAUUUUUGGAGACACUUUGGCUCAAACAGGUCGGGAGGAAUAUAAUCUAUGCUUGGAUAAUGCAAUACUUCUAAACCAUACUUCCUUGAGCCUUACGUAGGACAAUUAAUGAAUGCGAUAGCCUUAUAAAAGAAUUUGGUUUCCUAGGUUUAUACAUCCCUUUUGUACCGAGUUCUUUUGCCCCAAGGAUGUUUUUAUGGUGGCUUUCCUUUUUAAUAUGAAUGAAUACUGUUGAUGGGGUUCUUUAUAGAAUAUUUUAGUUGUAUAGUAAUUAAAAUAUUAAUUAUGUCCAUUUGGAAAAAUCACACUAGUAGGUAGUAAGGAUAAUAUACGUGGCAUAGUUGUUGUCAUUCUAUAAAUGUAUAAGGUGUAUCAAUUUACUUAUAUGUCCUGUGCACAUAUAUGACAACUGGCUACUUGGUACUGCUUGAUUCUGUGCUUUAUCAUUCUCGCUUGGUUCAAAUUCUUUUGUCGGUAAAGAGAAUUAUUGAUGAGAAUAUCUGUUUUCUGUAUUUUACAAAUUUGAUCGUGAUUAUUCAGUUAGUUGGUACUGUUUCAACAUUUGAUAAUUAUAUGGUCAAGAAUAUGAGUGAGACAAGUUUACUUAUAUACACUGCUUAACCCACUACCAGCUGUUUUCUUGAGUAAAUUUUAUUUUCAGUUCAGCCUCUGUGUUAAUGAUGAAACUUUGCUAUAAGGAUGAUUUUAUAAAGAAGGGAUUUGAUAUAGUUUAAUGGAAUUUGCAUUAUAGGCAUCCUAACUAUAUUUAUAUUUCAAGGUAUCAUCAAGUUAUUAGAUCUCAUAUUCUUUGGAAUACAUUUUUUAUAAAAAUUCAAG